AUGAGAAAUCAUGUUCACGACCUCCUUAGCCUCUUACAGAAUAGAUUUAUUGCGUCAAGCAUGUGGUAGAGUAUCUUUAGGCUUCUUGAUCAGAUUUUGCGCCUGGAAGAAAGGAAUGGAAUGAAGAUUGCUCUAUAGGCUUGCUGGGUCGAACUUCCUUCUGCUGGAUGAGAUACCCUGUGCUUGAAUUCUGAUUUCACAAAAUUGAUUACGGCAGCUUUUGUUUCAGCAGUGGAGUAGUAGAGGCCAAUGACACAGGAUAUGAGAGUAUCAAUUCCGAUGAUAAACUAGAUGUCAGUAAACGGUGGAAGCUUUGAACACAGCAAUGAAUGGUGCUAGCUUUGUCGUUGCUUUGAUUGGCUGCUGGGAAUUAGCUUACUGGGCUAAAUCGCUGCAUUGUGGUCGUCACGAUAUCCAAGUGAGCAUCCAUACAAGAGUGUUCUCGUGAAAUAUGCUUACAUUUGAUUAUUCAAAGUUGUAUUCUUGAAUGCAAUUGAAACAUUGGUC
Molecule: long non-coding RNA, 507 nt
Organism: Rosa rugosa (rugosa rose)
Lineage: Eukaryota; Viridiplantae; Streptophyta; Magnoliopsida; Rosales; Rosaceae
Exons: 3
Source: RefSeq, a predicted model, not a curated record